UACGUAGGGGGCAAGCGUUGUCCGGAUUUAUUGGGCGUAAAGAGCGUGUAGGCGGCUGGGUAGGUCCGCUGUGAAAACUCGAGGCUUAACCUCGAGACGUCGGUGGAAACCAUCCAGCUAGAGUCCGGAAGAGGAGAGUGGAAUUCCUGGUGUAGCGGUGAAAUGCGCAGAUACCAGGAAGAACACCCGUGGCGAAAGCGGCUCUCUGGGACGGUACUGACGCUGAGACGCGAAAGCGUGGGGAGCGAACAGG
This 253-nucleotide ribosomal RNA is filed under the name uncultured bacterium. RNAcentral describes it as "partial 16S ribosomal RNA". It matches the Rfam family "Bacterial small subunit ribosomal RNA", at positions 524 to 776 of the family's 1533-position model. The record is from RNAcentral.